CACCGCGGUUAUACGAGAGACCCAAGUCGACAGAACCCGGCGUAAAGCGUGAUUAAUAUUAUAUUACUACUAAAGUCGAACCCCUACAAGGCUGUUAUACGCCACCGAAGGUGAGAAGCCCGCUCACGAAAGUGACUUUAAGUCAUAUGAAUUCACGAAAGCUAUGGAA
This 169-nucleotide ribosomal RNA is filed under the name Priolepis ailina. Its description in RNAcentral is "partial small subunit ribosomal RNA". Lineage: Eukaryota; Metazoa; Chordata; Actinopteri; Gobiiformes; Gobiidae. The record is from RNAcentral.